ACUAUUUUAGUUUAUAAAAAACAUUAGAUUGUGAUUCUAAAGAAAAGUAGUUCUUAAAUAGUA
Molecule: transfer RNA, 63 nt
Filed under: Chaetopleura apiculata
Lineage: Eukaryota; Metazoa; Mollusca; Polyplacophora; Chitonida; Chaetopleuridae
Description: tRNA-His
Source: RNAcentral